CUCUUUCUGCUUGGACUCGAUGGUCUUGUCCUUUUUCGGCAGAACAUUGUCACGGAGGUUCUCCAUCCGGGCCUUCGCAUUCUUCAACUUAUCAAGAGCUUUCUCGCUCUCCUUGUACUUUGCAUCGAGUUGAUUAUAACGCUCUUGUAUCUUCUCGACGUCACGGAUUGAGUCUCCGUGAUAACUAGCAUGUGCCAUGUAACACGCGGCAUUCAUAUGCUUCAGCAGUUCAGCCCGACACCAAGCCCCAGGAUGCCCCAAGAGGAGUGACAUCGCUUCCCUUCUAGUUUCAGUACUGGCCAUAAAGUCGGGAAGGG
This 317-nucleotide long non-coding RNA is filed under the name Zostera marina. Its description in RNAcentral is "long non-coding RNA (ZMAR_LNC000088)". Lineage: Eukaryota; Viridiplantae; Streptophyta; Magnoliopsida; Alismatales; Zosteraceae. The record is from RNAcentral.